CCACACGAAGCUGGAAUCGCUAGUAAUCGUGAAUCAGAAUGUCACGGUGAAUACGUUCCCGGGUCUUGUACACACCGCCCGUCACACCAUGGGAGUCAGCAACGCCCGAAGUCAGUGACCUGACCGAGAGGGAGGAGCUGCCGAAGGCGGGGCCGGUAACUGGGGUGAAGUCGUAACAAGGUAGC
This 185-nucleotide ribosomal RNA is filed under the name uncultured bacterium. Its description in RNAcentral is "partial 16S ribosomal RNA". It matches the Rfam family "Bacterial small subunit ribosomal RNA", at positions 1316 to 1500 of the family's 1533-position model. The record is from RNAcentral.